GGGUUGUGAGGUUAAGCGACUAAGCGUACACGGUGGAUGCCCUGGCAGUCAGAGGCGAUGAAGGACGUGCUAAUCUGCGAUAAGCGUCGGUAAGGUGAUAUGAACCGUUAUAACCGGCGAUUUCCGAAUGGGGAAACCCAGUGUGUUUCGACACACUAUCAUUAACUGAAUCCAUAGGUUAAUGAGGCGAACCGGGGGAACUGAAACAUCUAAGUACCCCGAGGAAAAGAAAUCAACCGAGAUUCCCCCAGUAGCGGCGAGCGAACGGGGAGCAGCCCAGAGCCUGAAUCAGUGUGUGUGUUAGUGGAAGCGUCUGGAAAGGCGCGCGAUACAGGGUGACAGCCCCGUACACAAAAAUGCACAUACUGUGAGCUCGAUGAGUAGGGCGGGACACGUGGUAUCCUGUCUGAAUAUGGGGGGACCAUCCUCCAAGGCUAAAUACUCCUGACUGACCGAUAGUGAACCAGUACCGUGAGGGAAAGGCGAAAAGAACCCCGGCGAGGGGAGUGAAAAAGAACCUGAAACCGUGUACGUACAAGCAGUGGGAGCACGCUUAGGCGUGUGACUGCGUACCUUUUGUAUAAUGGGUCAGCGACUUAUAUUCUGUAGCAAGGUUAACCGAAUAGGGGAGCCGAAGGGAAACCGAGUCUUAACUGGGCGUUAAGUUGCAGGGUAUAGACCCGAAACCCGGUGAUCUAGCCAUGGGCAGGUUGAAGGUUGGGUAACACUAACUGGAGGACCGAACCGACUAAUGUUGAAAAAUUAGCGGAUGACUUGUGGCUGGGGGUGAAAGGCCAAUCAAACCGGGAGAUAGCUGGUUCUCCCCGAAAGCUAUUUAGGUAGCGCCUCGUGAAUUCAUCUCCGGGGGUAGAGCACUGUUUCGGCAAGGGGGUCAUCCCGACUUACCAACCCGAUGCAAACUGCGAAUACCGGAGAAUGUUAUCACGGGAGACACACGGCGGGUGCUAACGUCCGUCGUGAAGAGGGAAACAACCCAGACCGCCAGCUAAGGUCCCAAAGUCAUGGUUAAGUGGGAAACGAUGUGGGAAGGCCCAGACAGCCAGGAUGUUGGCUUAGAAGCAGCCAUCAUUUAAAGAAAGCGUAAUAGCUCACUGGUCGAGUCGGCCUGCGCGGAAGAUGUAACGGGGCUAAACCAUGCACCGAAGCUGCGGCAGCGACGCUUAUGCGUUGUUGGGUAGGGGAGCGUUCUGUAAGCCUGCGAAGGUGUGCUGUGAGGCAUGCUGGAGGUAUCAGAAGUGCGAAUGCUGACAUAAGUAACGAUAAAGCGGGUGAAAAGCCCGCUCGCCGGAAGACCAAGGGUUCCUGUCCAACGUUAAUCGGGGCAGGGUGAGUCGACCCCUAAGGCGAGGCCGAAAGGCGUAGUCGAUGGGAAACAGGUUAAUAUUCCUGUACUUGGUGUUACUGCGAAGGGGGGACGGAGAAGGCUAUGUUGGCCGGGCGACGGUUGUCCCGGUUUAAGCGUGUAGGCUGGUUUUCCAGGCAAAUCCGGAAAAUCAAGGCUGAGGCGUGAUGACGAGGCACUACGGUGCUGAAGCAACAAAUGCCCUGCUUCCAGGAAAAGCCUCUAAGCAUCAGGUAACAUCAAAUCGUACCCCAAACCGACACAGGUGGUCAGGUAGAGAAUACCAAGGCGCUUGAGAGAACUCGGGUGAAGGAACUAGGCAAAAUGGUGCCGUAACUUCGGGAGAAGGCACGCUGAUAUGUAGGUGAAGUCCCUCGCGGAUGGAGCUGAAAUCAGUCGAAGAUACCAGCUGGCUGCAACUGUUUAUUAAAAACACAGCACUGUGCAAACACGAAAGUGGACGUAUACGGUGUGACGCCUGCCCGGUGCCGGAAGGUUAAUUGAUGGGGU
This 1873-nucleotide ribosomal RNA is filed under the name Escherichia coli. Its description in RNAcentral is "partial 23S ribosomal RNA". It matches the Rfam family "Bacterial large subunit ribosomal RNA", at positions 1 to 1890 of the family's 2925-position model. The record is from RNAcentral. Lineage: Bacteria; Pseudomonadati; Pseudomonadota; Gammaproteobacteria; Enterobacterales; Enterobacteriaceae.